Molecule: non-coding RNA, 301 nt
Organism: Cinara cedri
Lineage: Eukaryota; Metazoa; Arthropoda; Insecta; Hemiptera; Aphididae
Source: the annotation of a GenBank genome assembly
UUUUUUUGGACCGUUAAAUAAAUAACAGUCUGGUAAAAAUGUAAUGAUCCCGUUCCAGAUAAUACGCAGGGUGGUGCAGAACACACAAAUUAUAUAGGAUCAAUGUGCCGUCGAGAAAAAAAAAACAACAAAACUUCUGAUACUGUCGAUGGGUGUGCCAUCUGGUUGUAGGCCGAAAGUCGGGAAGGUGUAUUUAAGCUAAUUUCGUGCAUGCGCUGUAGAAAGCGACGAUACAUUUCAGCAUUCAAAAAACGAUUCUGAGAGGAGCUCGAUAAACUGCUAAGUUUAAGGUAAAUUAUUC